GCCCGGAUGGCGAAAUUGGUAGACGCAAGGGAUUUAAAAUCCCUCGAUUGAAAGAUCGUGCCGGUUCGAUUCCGGCUCCGGGCACCA
Molecule: transfer RNA, 87 nt
Filed under: Candidatus Thiopontia autotrophica
Lineage: Bacteria; Pseudomonadati; Pseudomonadota; Gammaproteobacteria
Description: tRNA-Leu
Rfam family: tRNA
About the family: Transfer RNA (tRNA) molecules are approximately 80 nucleotides in length. Their secondary structure includes four short double-helical elements and three loops (D, anti-codon, and T loops).
Source: RNAcentral